GGGGAUAUAGCUCAAUGGCAGAGCAAACGGCUCAUAACCGUUCGGUUCCUGGUUCGAAUCCAUGUAUCCCCACCA
Molecule: transfer RNA, 75 nt
Filed under: Candidatus Hippobium faecium
Lineage: Bacteria; Bacillati; Armatimonadota
Description: tRNA-Ile
Rfam family: tRNA
About the family: Transfer RNA (tRNA) molecules are approximately 80 nucleotides in length. Their secondary structure includes four short double-helical elements and three loops (D, anti-codon, and T loops). Further hydrogen bonds mediate the characteristic L-shaped molecular structure. tRNAs have two regions of fundamental functional importance: the anti-codon, which is responsible for specific mRNA codon recognition, and the 3' end, to which the tRNAs corresponding amino acid is attached (by aminoacyl-tRNA synthetases). tRNAs cope with the degeneracy of the genetic code in two manners: having more than one tRNA (with a specific anti-codon) for a particular amino acid; and 'wobble' base-pairing, i.e. permitting non-standard base-pairing at the 3rd anti-codon position.
Source: RNAcentral